Molecule: ribosomal RNA, 2149 nt
Filed under: human gut metagenome
Description: bacterial LSU rRNA
Rfam family: Bacterial large subunit ribosomal RNA
Source: RNAcentral
CUAGUGACCGAUAGUGAACCAGUACCGUGAGGGAAAGGUGAAAAGCACCCCGGGAGGGGAGUGAAAUAGAACCUGAAACCGUGUGCCUACAACAAGUUCGAGCCCGUUAAUGGGUGAGAGCGUGCCUUUUGUAGAAUGAACCGGCGAGUUACGAUAUGAUGCGAGGUUAAGUUGAAGAGACGGAGCCGUAGGGAAACCGAGUCUUAAUAGGGCGCAUUAGUAUCAUGUCGUAGACCCGAAACCAUGUGACCUACCCAUGAGCAGGUUGAAGGUGAGGUAAAACUCACUGGAGGACCGAACCAGGGCACGUUGAAAAGUGCUUGGAUGACUUGUGGGUAGCGGAGAAAUUCCAAACGAACUUGGAGAUAGCUGGUUCUCUCCGAAAUAGCUUUAGGGCUAGCGUCGAUGUUAAGUCUCUUGGAGGUAGAGCACUGUUUGGGUGAGGGGUCCAUCCCGGAUUACCAAUCUCAGAUAAACUCCGAAUGCCAACGAGAUAUAAUCGGCAGUCAGACUGCGAGUGCUAAGAUCCGUAGUCGAAAGGGAAACAGCCCAGACCACCAGCUAAGGUCCCAAAAUAUAUGUUAAGUGGAAAAGGAUGUGGGGUUGCACAGACAACUAGGAUGUUAGCUUAGAAGCAGCUAUUCAUUCAAAGAGUGCGUAAUAGCUCACUAGUCGAGUGACCCUGCGCCGAAAAUGUACCGGGGCUAAAACAUAUUACCGAAGCUGUGGAUACCUUUAUAGGUAUGGUAGGAGAGCGUUCUAUGUGCGAAGAAGGUGUACCGUGAGGAGUGCUGGAGCGCAUAGAAGUGAGAAUGCCGGUAUGAGUAGCGAAAGACAGGUGAGAAUCCUGUCCACCGUAAGACUAAGGUUUCCAGGGGAAGGCUCGUCCGCCCUGGGUUAGUCGGGACCUAAGGAGAGACCGAAAGGUGUAUCCGAUGGACAACAGGUUGAUAUUCCUGUACUAGAGUAUAUAGUGAUGGAGGGACGCAGUAGGCUAACUAAACCAGACGAUUGGAAGUGUCUGGCCAAGCAGUGAGGUGUGAUAUGAGUCAAAUGCUUAUAUCUAUAACAUUGAGCUGUGAUGGGGAGCGAAGUUUAGUAGCGAAGUUAGUGAUGUCACACUGCCGAGAAAAGCUUCUAGCGUUAAUUAUACUCUACCCGUACCGCAAACCGACACAGGUAGUCGAGGCGAGUAGCCUCAGGUGAGCGAGAGAACUCUCGUUAAGGAACUCGGCAAAAUGGCCCCGUAACUUCGGGAGAAGGGGCGCUGACUUAUGGUCAGCCGCAGUGAAUAGGCCCAAGCAACUGUUUAUCAAAAACACAGCUCUCUGCUAAAUCGUAAGAUGAUGUAUAGGGGGUGACGCCUGCCCGGUGCUGGAAGGUUAAGAGGAGUGCUUAGCAAUAGCGAAGGUAUGAAUUGAAGCCCCAGUAAACGGCGGCCGUAACUAUAACGGUCCUAAGGUAGCGAAAUUCCUUGUCGGGUAAGUUCCGACCCGCACGAAAGGCGUAAUGAUUUGGGCACUGUCUCAACGAGAGACUCGGUGAAAUUUUAGUACCUGUGAAGAUGCAGGUUACCCGCGACAGGACGGAAAGACCCCAUGGAGCUUUACUGCAGUUUGAUAUUGAGUAUCUGUACCACAUGUACAGGAUAGGUAGGAGCCUAUGACCUCGGGACGCCAGUUUCGAGUGAGGCGUUGUUGGGAUACUACCCUUGUGUUAUGGCUACUCUAACCCAGAUAGGUUAUCCCUAUCGGAGACAGUGUCUGACGGGCAGUUUGACUGGGGCGGUCGCCUCCUAAAAGGUAACGGAGGCGCCCAAAGGUUCCCUCAGAAUGGUUGGAAAUCAUUCGCAGAGUGUAAAGGUAUAAGGGAGCUUGACUGCGAGAGCUACAACUCGAGCAGGGACGAAAGUCGGGCUUAGUGAUCCGGUGGUUCCGCAUGGAAGGGCCAUCGCUCAACGGAUAAAAGCUACCCUGGGGAUAACAGGCUUAUCUCCCCCAAGAGUUCACAUCGACGGGGAGGUUUGGCACCUCGAUGUCGGCUCGUCGCAUCCUGGGGCUGUAGUCGGUCCCAAGGGUUGGGCUGUUCGCCCAUUAAAGCGGCACGCGAGCUGGGUUCAGAACGUCGUGAGACAGUUCGGUCCCUAUCC